This 425-nucleotide ribosomal RNA is filed under the name uncultured bacterium. RNAcentral's name for it is "partial 16S ribosomal RNA". It matches the Rfam family "Bacterial small subunit ribosomal RNA", at positions 354 to 796 of the family's 1533-position model. The record is from RNAcentral.
GUUAGGAAUAUUGGACAAUGGGCGCAAGCCUGAUCCAGUCAUGCCGCGUGAGUGAUGAAGGCCUUCGGGUUGUAAAGCUCUUUAGUCCACGAAUAUAAUGACUGUAGUGGAAGAAUAAGCCCCGGCUAACUUCGUGCCAGCAGCCGCGGUAAUACGAAGGGGGCGAGCGUUAUUCGGAAUCACUGGGCGUAAAGCGUGCGUAGGCGGCUUUGCAAGUUGGGAGUGAAAGCCCAGGGCUCAACCCUGGAAUUGCUCUCAAAACUGCAAGGCUCGAAUUCGGGAGAGGAUAGCGGAAUUGUCAGUGUAGCAGUGAAAUGCGUAGAUAUUGACAGGAACACCAGUGGCGUAAGCGGCUAUCUGGACCGAUAUUGACGCUGAGGCACGAAAGCGUGGGGAUCAAACAGGAUUAGAUACCCGGGUAGUCC